AUUCAUCUGACGAGUCCCAAAUAGGACGAAGUGGCGGGCGUUCUGGAU
This 48-nucleotide non-coding RNA is filed under the name Schistosoma curassoni. The record is from RNAcentral. Lineage: Eukaryota; Metazoa; Platyhelminthes; Trematoda; Strigeidida; Schistosomatidae.